Molecule: ribosomal RNA, 253 nt
Filed under: uncultured bacterium
Lineage: Bacteria
Description: partial 16S ribosomal RNA
Rfam family: Bacterial small subunit ribosomal RNA
Source: RNAcentral
UACAGAGGUCUCAAGCGUUGUUCGGAUUCAUUGGGCGUAAAGGGCGCGUAGGCGGCUUGGCAAGUGGAUGGUGAAAUCCCUCGGCUUAACCGAGGAACUGCCGUCCAAACUGCUUUGCUUGAGGCCGGGAGAGGCGAGUGGAAUUCCCAGUGUAGCGGUGAAAUGCGUAGAUAUUGGGAGGAACACCUAUUGCGAAGGCAGCUCGCUGGGACGUAACUGACGCUGAGACGCGAAAGCGUGGGGAGCAAACAGG